Molecule: microRNA precursor, 96 nt
Filed under: Marmota monax (woodchuck)
Lineage: Eukaryota; Metazoa; Chordata; Mammalia; Rodentia; Sciuridae
Source: RNAcentral
GAGAGCCAUUGAUUUUUAUGUGUGUGUGUGUGUGUGUGUAUAUAUAUAUAUAUAUAUAUAUAUACACACACACACACACACACGUAUAUAUAUAAU